This 62-nucleotide transfer RNA is filed under the name Papiliolebias bitteri. Its description in RNAcentral is "tRNA-Tyr". Lineage: Eukaryota; Metazoa; Chordata; Actinopteri; Cyprinodontiformes; Rivulidae. The record is from RNAcentral.
UGAGAUGGACGAUAAAGGAAUAGGUUGUAAACUUAUUAAUAAGGUUCGUUACCUUUUCUCAA